Molecule: ribosomal RNA, 449 nt
Filed under: uncultured bacterium
Lineage: Bacteria
Description: bacterial SSU rRNA
Rfam family: Bacterial small subunit ribosomal RNA
Source: RNAcentral
GGGCCAGACUCCUACGGGAGGCAGCAGUGGGGAAUAUUGCACAGUGGGGGAAACCCUGAUGCAGCAACGCCGCGUGAAGGAAGACGGUUUUCGGAUUGUAAACUUCUGUUCUUAGUGAAGAAGGAUGACGGUAGCUAAGGAGCAAGCCACGGCUAACUACGUGCCAGCAGCCGCGGUAAUACGUAGGGGGCAAGCGUUAUCCGGAUUUACUGGGUGUAAAGGGAGCGUAGACGGCAGCGCAAGUCUGGAGUGAAAUGCCGGGGCCCAACCCCGGAACUGCUUUGGAAACUGUGCAGCUCGAGUGCAGGAGAGGUAAGCGGAAUUCCUAGUGUAGCGGUGAAAUGCGUUGAUAUUAGGAGGAACACCAGUGGCGAAGGCGACUUUCUGGACUGUACCUGACGCUGAGGCGCGAAAGCGUGGGUAUCGAACGGGAUUAGAUACCCGUGUAU